CUCGGCUCCUUCACCUACCAUUACUCAUGUUCCAGCGGCAGCCCCAACCUUAACUCCUACAAGCUCGCCUCCUACUCCUUCGGCUCCCACUCCUAGCUCAGGUCCCUCAGUGGCACUUCCUCCUAACGGUGUUCCGUCUCCUUCUGCUGAUACUCCGACAGGGGUUCCUCCAAACGGUGCUGUUUUGAGCAGAGGCGGUGCUGCUUUGGCCGUUGUUGGAGCGGCAUGUCUGUGGUCUUUGUUGCUGUAGAUCUGAUCUCAGGACUAUCAUCAGCUGCAGGUUUAGGAGUUCAUUUGGUAGGAUUGAGUUUUUUUUU
This 317-nucleotide unclassified non-coding RNA is filed under the name Hevea brasiliensis (rubber tree). The record is from RNAcentral. Lineage: Eukaryota; Viridiplantae; Streptophyta; Magnoliopsida; Malpighiales; Euphorbiaceae.